CCCCUUCUCUUGGUGUGCCGGACUCCGUACUUCAGGGUGUAAACCGAUCUCCUGUGGGAGGCCAGGAUGUGGGCUUUUCCCUGCACACCACAGUGCUUAAUUGGCUCCCUCCAUUAUGGUGUUAGACCUUCCUUUGAAACACAGGGAGUCAGGCGCGGCCGGAUUAGACGGGUUUGCUGGACCGGAUCAGGUCACUGGCACGUUACGUGCGCUUUGGGCCGGAUUUCCUCCCUACUGGAACGGAAUCCAAGACAGAUACUGAAUUUCCAGGCAGCGUAUUAAGGAGAAGCUGAAAUCUAGUGGAAUAAUGUUGGGAAACCCGCUCACCUUACAGACAACUCGGCUAAGGUGCCAAAUUGCUCCUGUAUUCUCCCUCCGCUCCUUUUCGUUUCUGGUUCUCUGGUUGUGGUCACUGCCUGAAAUGUCUUCACCUGAAGGCCCCAUCCGCUCAAGUCUCCCCGCUGUGACUUGUAGCUUCAGAGACGCCUUCCCCGGCCCGUCUCAGCACCCGUCCGUAAGCUGAAGGCCUAGGACACAGCCGCGUCAAAGCUGAACAGAUCUUGUUAGGAGACUCCACAUGUUAAUUGCAAAGAGGCCGGACCUCCCCUUACCUUGUCUCUCUCAAUUGCAAAAAGAGGCAUGAAUCCAGCUGUGCAGGAAAGGGCUGCCUUUGUGAACAGAUGCUGCCUCAUGAAAGGGAGCGUCGAGCUCCCUCGGGCUGCAGGAGAAGGAGCACGGUCGUGGUUUGCCGUGAGACGCACAGGAGCCGGUGGGGCGAUCUCCAGUGAGCUAGGCCCCUGUCCACUGGCACAGAGUUUGUGUUGGCAGAGCAACGAGCUCGGUCACCUGGGAAGAUGAGAAGACGUAUGGCCUGUUACCUGUUGGUCCUGUUGGCGACCGCGACAACAGGCUACCCCUCUCGACGAUCCGCUGUCGAUUUGGACGCGACCCCAAGGACGACGAUCGCCUAUAAUGAGUUAUCCAAUGUCCGGCACUUCAGCAGCCGCGCCCUGAACUACACCACUCUGCUGCUGGAGGACGAGAAGGGGAUCCUCUACGUGGGAGCGCGAGGGGCCAUAUUCUCCUUAAACUCCAGCAACAUUGCCGACGGCUCCCAAAGGGAGAUCCGGUGGGAGGCGUCUCUGGAGAAGCAGAUCGACUGCCUCCAGAAGGGCAAGAACAACAAGACCGAGUGCUUCAACCACAUCCGGCUCGUGCAGAGGCUGAACGACACCCACCUGUAUGCCUGCGGCACUUACGCCUUCCACCCACUGUGUGCGGCCAUCGAUGCCGACAGGUUCGCGCUGCCGCCCCACUUGGAGGAGGGCAAGGAGAAGUGUCCGUACGACCCUGCCCGCGGCUACACUGGCCUCAUCGUAGACGGCGGAUUGUACACGGCCACGCGGUACGAGUUCCGCAGCCUGCCCGACAUCAGGCGCAACCUGCAGCAGCGGCCCCUGAAGACGGAAGAGUCCCCCAUGCACUGGCUAAACGAUGCGGAGUUCGUGGCCUCUGUGCUGGUCCGGGAGAGUGUGCGCAGCCCAGUGGGGGACGAUGACAAGAUCUACUACUUCUUCAUGGAGCGGGCAGCGGAGGAGAGCACCUCCUUCGACAAGAGCCAGGUGGCCAGGGUGGCCAGGGUGGCGCGGGUGUGCAAGAGCGACCUGGGUGGGAAGAAGAUCCUGCAGCGGAAAUGGACGUCGUUCAUGAAGGCCCGGCUGGUCUGCUACAUCCCCUACUACGAGGUGCUCAAGGCCGUGCACAGCGUGGACGGGGGCAGCUGGCCCAGCACCGUCUUCUACGCCACGUUCACCUUGUCGGCUCAGUGGAGGAGCAUGGAGGCAUCCGCCAUCUGCCAAUACAACAUCUCUGAGCUGCAGCGGGCUUUCGAGGGCCCCUACAUGCAAUACGAGGACACCACCCGCAAAUGGACCCUCUACGACGGGGAGGUGCCGUCCCCACGGCCGGGCUCUUGCAUCACCAACCGCUCCCGCGAGGACGGCUACCUCUCCUCCCAGGACCUGCCCAACAGCGUGCUGGAGUUUGUCAAGCUGCACCCACUGAUGUUUGAGGAGGUGAAGCCGGCGCGGGGGGAGCCCCUGCUGGUGAAGAAGAACGUGCUCUAUACGGCCCUGGCGGUGGACAGGGCGCCGGCCCUGGACGGCCAGCAGUACGACGUGCUCUUCAUGGGGACGGGUGAUGGCUGGCUGCACAAGGGGGUGGUAAUCGGCUCCGCCGUACACAUCGUGGAGGAGCUGCAGGUCUUCGGGGCCCCCCAGCCCGUGGAAAGCCUGGUGAUCUCCAAAGGCCAGAGAAGCGUGUACGUGGGAGCUGCCAGCGGAGUCCUGCAGCUCCCCCUGUCCAGCUGUGCCAGGUACAGCUCCUGCUACGAUUGCAUCCUGACCCGGGACCCCUACUGCGCCUGGGAUGGCGAGGGCUGCAGGGAGGUGGCCGGCGCUGCGGACAGGGCCGUCGGCCACCGGCCCCCUGCUGACACGGCCCAUCUUGCUCCUCACAGGACCCAGCUGACCCAGGACGUGCAGCACGGCAGAGAGGGCUGCAGGAACGGCUCUGCCCAAGUGCCUCCUGUGCAGAAGAACCGGACGGUGCUGCAGGGCGACGACGUGCUGCUGCCGUGCGAGCAGCGCUCCAACCUGGCACGGGCCACGUGGCUGGUGAACGGCACGGCGAGGCUGGCGGCUGGGCGGGGCCACUUCCGAGUGGGGGUGGACGGGCUGCUGGUGACAGACACCCUGCCGGAGCACAGCGGGGACUAUGGCUGCUACGGGGAGGAGAAUGGCCUGCGCUCCCUGCUAGCUGCCUACGCCCUGACGGUGCUGCCAGAGCCGCCCAAGGAGCCAGCGGCACCCACGGCCCCGCCGCUCCCCAGCCCCGACCGCCAGGCCUCCCCCGACAUGAAGUUCGUCUACAUCGCGGUGAUCGCCAUGCUGGGCGGGCUGUGCCUGGUGCUGAGCGCUGUGCUGCUCCACGUCUCCUGCCUUCAGCGCCGCAAGGGCAGGUACGUGCUGGGCGACCCCAGCGCCCCCUCCGUGGAGCUGCAGACGGUCUCGGCCAACUGCCUGGGCGGGGGCCGGGAGGAGGAGGAGCUGAGCCGGGAGGACGGCUGCCUGCAGAUCAUCCCGGGCGAGGCCCCCACGGCGGCGUCCCCAGCCAGGGAGACGCCUCUGGCGCCCCCCCCGCCGCCCCCGCCACUCCCGGCCGAGUUCACCAACGGCAUCGCCGCCCUGCCCAACAUGCUGCGCAAGAUGAACGGCAAUAGCUACAUGCUGCUGCGGCAGCAGGAGGAGCCCAGCCCCUCGCCCCUCUACAGCACCACCUUCGCCGAGGAGCUGAGCAAGAUCCUGGAGAAGCGGAAACACACGCAGCUGGUGGACAAGCUGGAUGAGAGCUCCGUGUAGGGGCCCCCGGACGCCAGUUGGAUUCAAUCCCCUGCCCCCGCCCCCCCCCCACCAACCAGUGUUACACAAACCCACGGGAAACUACCUCUGGAACCGAACCGCCGGGCUGGGCCUCGAAGCGCCGGGAUCCCUCUUGCUGGGACCGCUUGGCUCAGAGCCUGUUGUAAAGAGACAUUGAUUGAAAUGGCAAAUCUAUUUAUGUAUAAAAGAUAACAAUCCGGAAACAGAGCCAGAAAUACGGCUGUGUCGGGGUGGGGCGAGAGGAGACGCCUGCCCGGGCACUGGCCUCGGACCAUGGCAUCGAACCGCUCCGGUGAGGUCUCUCCUCAGCCUUGGGAGCGGCAGCUGGGCCGCGGAGAGGUGGGAGCUGGCCCCUGUGCGCUGAGAAGAGUGCCCCCCUUUUCCUGUGCCACAGACACGGGACCCACCGGACCGAGAGACAGAGCCGGGGAACCCGGCGUCGGAGAGAGCUGGGAGGCGGCGGGGUGAGGAGCGGGCAGUGGCUCAGCGCGGGAUGGCAUCUCAGCUCCAGCGCUGGGCACGCGGCCCCAGCAGGAGCCCGUUAGUCUGUGCAGAACGAAGAGUCGUCGCAGUGGUCCGGAAGGGGCUGGCUCUGAUGCAGGGCCCUGAGCUGCAGUGCCUGAGGGAUGCCGGCUUUCAACACAGCCUGACCUGGUGGGGAGAGCUGUGCCUGGCCCCUCCAUCUGCUGGAGAACCUAGCAAUGCCAGGCUGCAGCCAGGUCGCAGGGCAGGGGGUGGGGAGAGAGUCACGGCGGAGUGAGUGCGUAUGGGGGUCAUUGCAGCGUGGGGGUGGAGUGGUACGUGUGGGGGUCACUGCAGCGUGGGGGUGGAGUUGUGCAUGUGAGGGUCAUUGCAGCGUGGGGGUGGAGUGGUACAUGUGGGGGUCACUGCAGCGUGGGGGUGGAGUGGUGCGUGUGGGGGUCAUUGCAGCGUGGGGGUGGAGUGGUGCGUGUGGGGGUCACUGCAGCGUGGGGGUGGAGUUGUGCGUGUGAGGGUCAUUGCAGCGUGGGGGUGGAAUGGUGUGUGUGGGGGUCAUUGCAGCGUGGGGGUGGAGUGGUGCGUGUGGGGGUCACUGCAGCGUGGGGGUCGAGUUGUGCAUGUGAGGGUCAUUGCAGCGUGGGGGUGGAGUGGUGCGUGUGGGGGUCACUGCAGCGUGGGGGUGGAGUGGUGUGUGUGGGGGUCAUUGCAGCGUGGGGGUGGAGUGGUGCGUGUGGGGGUCACUGCAGCGUGGGGGUCGAGUUGUGCAUGUGAGGGUCAUUGCAGCGUGGGGGUGGAGUGGUACGUGUGGGGGUCAUUGCAGCGUGGGGGUGGAGUGGUACGUGUGGGGGUCAUUGCAGCGUGGGGGUGGAGUGGUACGUGUGGGGGUCACUGCAGCGUGGGGGUGGAGUUGUGCAUGUGAGGGUCAUUGCAGCGUGGGGGUGGAGUGGUACGUGUGGGGGUCACUGCAGCGUGGGGGUGGAGUGGUGCGUGUGGGGGUCACUGCAGCGUGGGGGUGGAGUGGUACGUGUGGGGGUCAUUGCAGCGUGGGGGUGGAGUGGUACGUGUGGGGGUCACUGCAGCGUGGGGGUGGAGUUGUGCAUGUGAGGGUCAUUGCAGCGUGGGGGUGGAGUGGUACG
Gopherus evgoodei (Goodes thornscrub tortoise) is the source of this 5056-nucleotide RNA transcript. It is a transcript of the gene named semaphorin 4G, with no coding region annotated. The transcript has 17 exons. Lineage: Eukaryota; Metazoa; Chordata; Testudines; Testudinidae. The record is from RefSeq and is a predicted model, not a curated record.